Molecule: transfer RNA, 40 nt
Filed under: Betula pendula (European white birch)
Lineage: Eukaryota; Viridiplantae; Streptophyta; Magnoliopsida; Fagales; Betulaceae
Also listed under: 13 other names
Description: partial tRNA-Phe
Source: RNAcentral
GUCGGGAUAGCUCAGCUGGUAAAGCAAAGGACUGAAAAUC